ACACUAUAGGGGUGUUCACACGGCACACAUUUGCUCCGGCGCUGAACCGAUGUAUUUUGUUGCAAUAUAUUUUGCACCGCAGCAAAUUGUCGUGACAGCACCGGCACAGCGUCAGUGCAGCCCCAUUUGCGUUCACACGGCAGUUUCUGCAGUGGAGCAAAACGACAGAAAACAAAUGAGCUGUCGUGUUGGUUCUUUUUAAAACGUAUACACAACUCAAGCGACUACUAGACAGGCACGUCCUUCUCCUUCUCGAUUUCCGUGCCUUCUGCUCGAGAGUGACCGCCCAAGAAAACGUAAAUGAACGAUGACUUCAAUGACACUCAGAAAAGCAAACACUAAUGCGCCAAACAGAAAAUCAAGAGAGGAAAUCACAAAAUAAAUUCUAUUGGGGUUGGGGGGUUGUGAACAAACAACAAAGGAACAAACAACUCCGAGACAGUCCAGUCUCCUACAAAAGGAAAGAUGUUACCAGCCAAGUCGUGUGUCGUUAUUAAACAAACACAUGACGGAGGUCCGACAGAGCACGAAAGCAACGCAUUCUCGCCAUACGUACUCUUCACAAGCAUUUGCUCUGGAGCAAAUUUAACCCAGUUGCGUUCACACGUGCAAAUUUACAUCGGUGCUGCUUCGCAAACGAGCAUUUGCUCCGGAGCAAAUUUUUAAACGACCUCCCUGAGGUAUAUCAAAUUUGGUCCGGUGUAAGCCUUUUUCCGGGGCUAUGCCGGAGCUAAUUUGCACGUGUGAACGCUCUACUGGGGCAGCCCCGGCGUAGCACCGGACCAAAUCUUGCCGUGUGAACACCCCUUAUGAA
This is a long non-coding RNA of Hippocampus zosterae (dwarf seahorse), 814 nucleotides long. RefSeq lists it as uncharacterized. The record is from RefSeq and is a predicted model, not a curated record. Lineage: Eukaryota; Metazoa; Chordata; Actinopteri; Syngnathiformes; Syngnathidae. The transcript is spliced from 2 exons.